Molecule: non-coding RNA, 431 nt
Organism: Cinara cedri
Lineage: Eukaryota; Metazoa; Arthropoda; Insecta; Hemiptera; Aphididae
Source: the annotation of a GenBank genome assembly
UUUUUUUUUUGUAAUAUUAAAGUGAUAUAACAAACAUAUCAACAAAUUUUUAUUAGGCAGAUCACACGCACCUUUUGUUUGUUCUGGUAUUUCUAUCCAAUAUGCUAAUCUAGCUAUUAAUUUGUUUCAGUGUUUAAACAUAGCUACUAAUAAUUCCCUUUAAUCAAAAAGUCACUAAAACUUGCUAUUUUAAUAAAUAUUAUUAUCAGUUUUCAAUUUUGUUAUCUUAUGUACAUAUUAUAAUUAUUAUCACAUCAUUUGUAUUUGUCAACAUAUUUAGAUAGCAUUGAAUAAUGCUAAUAUAUCUUUGGUAAAUAUGUUAACGAAAUAAAAUUAAUAAUAAAUCAAGAAUUUUCAAACCUUACAAAGUAUAAUUUGAUGGGCAUAUUGGUAAAUUAUACACAAUGCACAAUGUGUUUAUUGAGGUUUUA